CCUACGGGAGGCAGCAGUGGGGAAUAUUGCACAAUGGGCGGAAGCCUGAUGCAGCGACGCCGCGUGAGGGAUGAAGGCCUUCGGGUUGUAAACCUCUUUCAGCAGGGACGAAGCGUGAGUGACGGUACCUGCAGAAGAAGCACCGGCUAACUACGUGCCAGCAGCCGCGGUAAUACGUAGGGUGCGAGCGUUGUCCGGAAUUACUGGGCGUAAAGAGUUCGUAGGCGGUUUGUCGCGUCGUUUGUGAAAACCCGGGGCUCAACUUCGGGCUUGCAGGCGAUACGGGCAGACUUGAGUGUUUCAGGGGAGACUGGAAUUCCUGGUGUAGCGGUGAAAUGCGCAGAUAUCAGGAGGAACACCGGUGGCGAAGGCGGGUCUCUGGGAAACAACUGACGCUGAGGAACGAAAGCGUGGGUAGCAAACAGGAUUAGAUACCCUGGUAGUCCACGCCGUAAACGGUGGCGCUAGGUGUGGGUUCCUUCCACGGGAUCUGUGCCGUAGCUAACGCAUUAAGCGCCCGCCUGGGGAGUACGGCCGCAAGGCAAAACUCAAAGGAUUGACGG
RNAcentral lists this ribosomal RNA (563 nucleotides) under uncultured bacterium. RNAcentral describes it as "bacterial SSU rRNA". It matches the Rfam family "Bacterial small subunit ribosomal RNA", at positions 338 to 916 of the family's 1533-position model. The record is from RNAcentral.